GACGAACGCUGGCGGCGUGCCUAAUACAUGCCAGUAGAACGCUGAAGGAGGAGCUUGCUUCUCUGGAUGAGUUGCGAACGGGUGAGUAACGCGUAGGUAACCUGCCUGGUAGCGGGGGAUAACUAUUGGAAACGAUAGCUAAUACCGCAUAAUAGUAGAUGUUGCAUGACAUUUGCUUAAAAGGUGCAAUUGCAUCACUACCAGAUGGACCUGCGUUGUAUUAGCUAGUUGGUGAGGUAACGGCUCACCAAGGCAACGAUACAUAGCCGACCUGAGAGGGUGAUCGGCCACACUGGGACUGAGACACGGCCCAGACUCCUACGGGAGGCAGCAGUAGGGAAUCUUCGGCAAUGGACGGAAGUCUGACCGAGCAACGCCGCGUGAGUGAAGAAGGUUGUCGGAUCGUAAAGCUCUGUUGUAAGAGAAGAACGAGUGUGAGAGUGGAAAGUUCACACUGUGACGGUAUCUUACCAGAAAGGGACGGCUAACUACGUG
This 495-nucleotide ribosomal RNA is filed under the name uncultured bacterium. RNAcentral's name for it is "partial 16S ribosomal RNA". It matches the Rfam family "Bacterial small subunit ribosomal RNA", at positions 28 to 507 of the family's 1533-position model. The record is from RNAcentral.